AGGAUUGGGCCUCCCUAAGCUCUCUCCACCUGACAGUUACACAAAUGCUAUUGAUAAAGAUGGGAACCAGUUCCCUAAUCUUUUCCACUCAAUCUUUUCCUUCCCUUUUCUUUCAUUCGCUCCUUUGAGAGCAGGUGUGCCUUGUCUUAACAUUGUAUCCAUUCCAGUAUCUUUAGUCCAUAGUUCUUGGAUUUGCAAACCAUAGGCAAUUGAUAAAAUGGAAAUAAUACCUGACUUUAUAGCAGUUCACCUGAAAAUAAAUUGAAGCAUUUUAAUUGAUAUCAGUCGACUGUGUGAUGGAGCUGCCGGGAAAUACCAAGAUCAUCUCGGACUACAUGAAUAGAAGUGUACAGUGGGCAGCAAGAGAGCUCUGUGCUCUGUGUUGGGCAGACAAGUUCAUAAACAAUCUGCUCCAUUCUGAGUACGACAUUGAAUGAGCAAUAUUAAAAUUGGAGACUGUUCAAACAAAAUGAACAAAUUAGGGACAGCACAGUAAAGUGUAAUAAUAUCAUUUUGGAGUCAGACAGGCUUAUUCAGACCCAAGUUCUGACACUUACUAUGUCACCUUGGGGAAGUUAUUUAACUUCUCACAGCCUCAGUUUACUUGUCUAUGUAAUGGAAAUAAUAAUAGUAUCUAUUUCAUGGAUUAUGCCAAGGACUAUGAUCAUGAUGAGCAAUUAUCAUUUACAUUUGGAGGAAUUAGAGUGGUUUAGCCAGAAGAUUUGAAGACUUAGGAGUUGGGGUGUGGUGUGUAUGGGAUAUUAUGUCUAUCUUUAGAUAUUUGAACAAUUGCUGUUGGAGGAGUUAUUGUGCUUAUGUUGGGUAGAUGCAUAUGACAGAAUUAGGUCAAAUAGUGGGAUAUGCAGAGAAGAUGACAUUGCCUCAACACAUGGCAUAAAUUUUUGACAAUUAGCUUUGUUUAAAAAUGGAAUUAAGUUCUUUCAUCAGGUGGUGAUUUCCAGACCACAGUGAAUGUUCAAGCAGAGACUGGUUUCUGUGUCUUAGAAUGGUAUAGAGGAGAGUUCUGCACUGGCCAACGUAUGGAGAAAUUUAGAUGCUACGUGUGGGAGUUUGCAGGUUACCAAGCAGGGGUCCAUGAUAAAUGUAGGACAAAAGAAGUUACAAAUAAUCACAUUCUGAAAAGUUGAGCUAAAUGAUGAAUAAGGACAAGUCCAGACAUCAUAUUCCUUUCCUCUUGGAGUUCUCAAGCACAGAACCUGUAGCUUGAGUUGUCAUCUUCCAUUUUCUUCAUUUCGGAGCUCCUCUUCAUCGCACCCUGAGUGGUGAUGAUCCACAACGUUCCUGUUCCUUUCCAGGCCGAGAGAGUGGGCAGGAGGAGGAGCUUUCAUUGAAGUGAUUCUCUCAGCUGUAUAGGAAGCACCCCGGGUCUGCUCAACAGAAAAGCCACAGUUCAUGGACUUGGUGGUAUCGGAGGUGCCAAGGGCUGGAAGCCAAAGUUCAGUUUCCUCUUAAGCAGCAAGUUCUUUUGCGUAAGUCCAACCUGCUGACUUGCUCCGUGUAAGUGCUUUUGUUUUUAUCUCAAGGCUAUUCUUAAGUUAAUUAGUUGCAAUUACUAGCUCUGCUGCAGUGGAAUGCAUAGUAACAGAAGGGGGAAAUGAGGCCAUCAGGGAGAUGCAGUUGAGUGUUCUGAGACAACAUACAGAGGAACUGCAAUUCGUUACACUCACCAAUUAAGUCCGAAAAAAGAAAAAACAACAACAACAACAAUAAAACCAAAACUUGCUCCAAAUAGAAACACAAAGGAUGAGGCAAAUAUACUUACACAGUGUUUGUUAUAAUGUCUGCCCACAUCCAGAGGCCACGAAAUGUCCCUAAGGAUGGUUUCCCAUGACAGUAAGCCACAGCAGGCAGAAAGAGCAGUGGGGCUUGUUAAGAGCUAUAGAUUCAAAAGCUUCUUUUUAUUAGCUGUCAGUCUAAUUUCUAUUGGGGCCAGUCAGUUCCAU
This 1964-nucleotide long non-coding RNA is filed under the name Homo sapiens (human). RNAcentral describes it as "HSALNT0242783". Lineage: Eukaryota; Metazoa; Chordata; Mammalia; Primates; Hominidae. The record is from RNAcentral.